Molecule: non-coding RNA, 253 nt
Filed under: uncultured bacterium
Lineage: Bacteria
Also listed under: 2 other names
Description: partial 16S ribosomal RNA
Rfam family: Bacterial small subunit ribosomal RNA
Source: RNAcentral
GACGAACCGUCCGAACGUUAUUCGGAAUUAUUGGGCUUAAAGGGUGCGUAGGCGGCCUUGUAAGUCGGGUGUGAAAUCCCACGGCUCAACCGUGGAACUGCGCCCGAUACUGCAUGGCUUGAGGGAGACAGAGGUAAGCGGAACUGAUGGUGGAGCGGUGAAAUGCGUUGAUAUCAUCAGGAACACCGGUGGCGAAAGCGGCUUACUGGGUCUCUUCUGACGCUGAGGCACGAAAGCUAGGGUAGCGAACGGG